This is a long non-coding RNA of Megalobrama amblycephala (Wuchang bream), 1389 nucleotides long. RefSeq lists it as uncharacterized. The transcript has 3 exons. The record is from RefSeq and is a predicted model, not a curated record. Lineage: Eukaryota; Metazoa; Chordata; Actinopteri; Cypriniformes; Xenocyprididae.
CAUUUUAUGACCUCGGUAAUUAUGAAACCCUGUGUACAUGUUCUAUAAAUUCUAUCUAAUGAAAUCUGAGGUAAAUGUGUAUUUCUACAAAUGUGCGCACUUUGAGAGUAAACGUUUGUAUGUAGUAUGCACUGUGAUCAAAAAUAAAUGGGACCAAACGCGAUUGAACGUAAAGGUUUGUGUCUCGUUAUUCUAUUAAUAACUACCGAUUGAUUUUGCAUUUCUUUUAUAAAAUAAGAAUUAUUAGUGUCAUUGUAGUCAUUAUUAGUGUCAUAUAUAUAUAAUAUAUCGGCCCCCUCAUUUUUAGAUGGGCCCCCGCAAAAAUAAAAUUCUGGCUACGCCACUGGUGAAUAGUACCUCCUAUUUAAAGGUCGAUUGGCUGUUACCUGGGAUGCGUCACGUCCGUUUUCCCCCUUUGUUUUGGCUGUGUUGAUGGUGUCUGUGGAGUGCAGUUUCUAUAUUCUGGUGCUGCUGCCCUUUUUGUGCUGCUUAGUGGGUUUGAUGACUGUUUGCCUCUCAGUAUACAUGACUUCCUGUACCCCAUGGUGGUAGCGGUGGGUAUGACUGCGACAAGCCCGUGCCUAUGAAGCAUUUUAUUCGGCGUGAUAUCCUGAUGGUAAGUGUUUUAAAGGCAAUUUAUAUCUGGGUGAGCAUAAUAUUAUUCUUUUUAACAUCUCCUUUUGUUCGAUGUAGGAUUCUCCCUCUCGUUCUAUGUUGUGACUGUUUGCUGCCGUGAUCGUUUAUGCCGUGAUUGUUUGCUGCCGUGAUCACUUGCUGCUGUCUUCGCGCUGUUAACAGAGCGGCGGUCCAUACAGCCGCGCCGACGAAGUCAUCAACGUUGAUUAAAGGGGACUGCUGGUUUGAUUCUGUUACGUGCCUUUCUAGAGCCCUGCUUCACGUUUUGGUUUAUUUUAUUAUUAGUUAUCACGGUUAAAUCAUUUAACCUUUUUCUUUAAGUUUGUGGACAUUUUCUCUUUAAGUUUGUUCUUUUUUUUUUUUUUUUUGUGAAACUACAAUCUGUCGAUAUGUGCAUGUUUAAUCUAUGAAUGCAAUUCAAAUCGUGUGGUGAUCUACUGUAUAGAAGUUGGUGUUGGUAACAAUUUCAGGUGAUUAACUAUCUGAUUUUCUGGUUGCAUUGUUGCUUCUCCUCACUUCUGUUUGUUGAUACCACUUAGGAGUUGCUGCAUUGUUCAUAUUGCCAUUUCUGCCCAGUUUAUUUUCAUAGUUAUUUUCUUUUUGAUUUAUUGCAGGAGCUGGGGUCCCACGGGUGGUUUGAUCUUCCUCCUUGUGGUGGUGGUGGUUCUCCUUCAUCGUGUGCGGUGUACACCUUGAGUGUUUGAUAGUGUGAUUAGAGUGCACGGGUGUGUGUGCACGUGGAAGUGUGCUCUU